AGUGCUGGGGGACUGGGCUGGGUAGGGAUACAUUGCGAGUUCAAGAUUUGCACAUACGAACUAUUAUCUAUAAAGCAGAUAAGCAGCAAGUUUCUACUGUAUAGCACAGGGAACUCUAUUCAAUAUCUUGUAGUAACCUAUAAUGAAAAGGAGUAUGAAAAGGAA
Non-coding RNA from Vicugna pacos (alpaca), 165 nucleotides. Lineage: Eukaryota; Metazoa; Chordata; Mammalia; Artiodactyla; Camelidae. The record is from RefSeq and is a predicted model, not a curated record.